Molecule: ribosomal RNA, 473 nt
Filed under: uncultured organism
Description: SSU rRNA
Rfam family: Bacterial small subunit ribosomal RNA
Source: RNAcentral
CUAGAGUUUGAUCCUGGCUCAGGACGAACGCUGGCGGCGUGCUUAACACAUGCAAGUCGAACGGAACUUUUAGUUUAGUGGCAAACGGGUGAGUAACGCGUAGGUAAUCUGCCGCAAAGUUGGGGACAACAGUUCGAAAGGACUGCUAAUACCGAAUGUUAUAACUUUUCCGCAUGGAGGAGUUAUUAAAGAUUUAUCGCUUUGCGAGGAGCCUGCGUCCGAUUAGGCAGUUGGUAGGGUAAAGGCUUACCAAACCUACGAUCGGUAACCGGUCUGAGAGGAUGAACGGUCACAUUGGAACUGAGACACGGUCCAGACUCCUACGGGAGGCAGCAGUGGGGGAUAUUCCACAAUGGGCGAAAGCCUGAUGGAGCGACGCCGCGUGAGUGAAGAAGUAUUUCGGUAUGUAAAGCUCUAUCAGCAGGGAAGAUAAUGACGGUACCUGACUAAGAAGCACCGGCUAAAUACGUGCC